CGUAGGGUGCGAGCGUUAAUCGGAAUUACUGGGCGUAAAGCGUGCGCAGGCGGUUUAGUAAGACAGGCGUAAAAUCCCCGGGCUCAACCUGGGAACUGCGCUUGUGACUGCUAAGCUAGAGUACGGCAGAGGGGGGUGGAAUUCCACGUGUAGCAGUGAAAUGCGUAGAGAUGUGGAGGAACACCAAUGGCGAAGGCAGCCCCCUGGGUCGAUACCGACGCUCAUGCACGAAAGCGUGGGUAGCAAACAGGAUUAGAUACCCUGGUAGUCCACGCCCUAAACGAUGUCAACUAGGUGUUGGGAGGGUAAAACCUUUUAGUACCGGAGCUAACGCGUGAAGUUGACCGCCUGGGGAGUACGGCCGCAAGGCUA
This 372-nucleotide ribosomal RNA is filed under the name uncultured organism. RNAcentral describes it as "bacterial SSU rRNA". It matches the Rfam family "Bacterial small subunit ribosomal RNA", at positions 526 to 896 of the family's 1533-position model. The record is from RNAcentral.